This is an RNA transcript of Chlorocebus sabaeus (green monkey), 3153 nucleotides long. It is a transcript of the gene named transmembrane protein 273, with no coding region annotated. The record is from RefSeq and is a predicted model, not a curated record. NCBI's taxonomy places the organism in Eukaryota, Metazoa, Chordata, Mammalia, Primates, Cercopithecidae.
UCUAUGUUGCAAGUUUAACAAAAUAUUUUGAUAACUAUGUGUUAAUACUACUAAUUUCUGUUAUGAUCCUUAUCUAUUUUAGUUUGGGAUUUAAAAAUCUUAUUCUGAGAAGAGAGUGAUAGGCAUUCCUAGACUCAGAAGCGCCCAUGGCACAAAAACAGUGACCAAGCUGGACUAUUGGCUGGAGGGGCAUUUCCUGUUCCUGCUCCAAGGCAGAGGCUACUGCAAGGGCUGGACUGCAGGGCAGAUCGGCUUUGCCCACAUUCCUCUCUGAGACUUACUAGCGUGGGUCAUUGGGCAAGAAACCGCACCUUACCGUGCUUUGUUCCCACACUCUGUGGGGAGGUUUACAGGAGAGAACGCUGGGUACAAUACCCAGCAUGUGCAGUGGGCCUAAUCACAGCCAGCUUCUGGUGGAGGCCAGGACGACAGGGGCUUCCUUCAGCCCUGUAUUCAGAGAGGCUGAGAGGAACUGAACAGCCUGCUGGCUGUGGCAGCGGUUUCCUUCCCCAUCAGUCACGUGGGCCUUGUCCUGUCCCCGGAGCCUUGGGUCACAUGGCUCAUUGUGCCUGCGUUGCCAGGAGCCAGGAGCCAGGAGGAGAGCAGAGCGCCAACAUGAACUUGGGGGUCAGCAUGCUGAGGAUCCUCUUCCUCCUGGAUGUAGGAGGAGCUCAAGUGCUGGCAACAGGCAAGCCCCCUGGGGCUGAAAUCGAUUUCAAGUACGCCCUCAUCGGGACUGCUGUGGGCAUUGCUGUAUCUGCCAGCUUCCUGGCCCUGAAGAUCUGCAUGAUCAGGAGGCACUUAUUUGAUGACGACUCUUCCGACCUGAAAAGCGCACCUGGAGGCCUCAAUGGUGAGGGAUGCGGUGCUCAGGCCUGGCUCUGCCCGAUGAAGCCAGGCACCGAGGGCCACUCUGUGAUGCUGGCUACAGCAAGAACGAACCCACAAGCGCAGAGCCCAACAGGCUGUAAAGGAAGGCAAUGACCUCUCCAUGUUUCUGUCUCUCUUACUAUGUCUUUGCCUCUGUUUCUCUUUCUUCUGUCUCUCUCUCUCUGUCUAUUUGUGUUCCUUUUUCUGUUUCUCUUUCCAUCUCUUUGUCUUUCUGUGACUCUUUCCCUCUGUACCUUUCCUUUCCAUUGCUCUUGGCAGUCCUGAGAAUCACAUUUCCUGGAGAAAGAUGGGAGAGGAACUAAAAUUGGCUUCACACAGAAAUUUCUGUUCUCUCAUCCAAAUGAUGAGAUCAAAUAAACCCAGUGCCAGGAGGCAGUGAGGUUGGUCGUAAGUGUGGGUGGAUGGUGGGAGGUUCUGUUGACUGUGUGGGUCAAGAUGCAUUUUUUUUCAUAAAUUGGGAAAGUCCUUCUCAAAACAGUACUGAGUAGCCCCUCAGAUAGAAACUGAGCUGGCUGAUGUGCACCAUGGCACAGUCCUCCGCCUCCUUGGCACCCAAAAUGCAGUGUUGAUUUGCAUCCCUUCUCUCAGGGUAUCACCCCCAAACUCAUCCUCUGUUGUAUUAGAUAGCUCAGUACAAUGAUGGUGCAGUUUUCCACGGGGUGCUUCUGGGGAGAACAGAGCCUCACUGUCUUUCUGGAAGAUGUGAUUAUGAUCUGUGAAGAUAAGGAGAAGGGGCUGGUCUGGGCCAGGAGAGGAGGAGGCUUCCCAAGAUGCUGGCGUGUGCAUCACCUGAGGGGCUUAAUAGGCCAUGGGAGUUUGCUUAUCCCUGAGUUUGCUUAUCCUUGUGUAUCCCCACAAAUAAGGGGAGGAAACAGCCUCUUCAUCACAUGGCAGCCAGGCCCCGGAUCUCUCGAGGGCAUCAUGAAUGAGAGGACCCAGGAGAGGGAGGUGAAAGUUCCAGGGAACGCUCUGCACCUCUUGUCACAGGACCCCCUUCCUAAUGCCCGGCUUUCUCUGUUUAGACACCAUCCCGCUAAAGAAGAGAGCCCCAAGGCGAAACCACAAUUUCUCCGAAAGAGAUGCACAGGUGAUUGAGCUGUAGGUGAGCAGUGAUGUGAAGAGGGAUUCUAGCUCUGUGGACAGCGGCCCACGGUUAACGUCUCAGGAUGUUCUGCAUUCGAAAACCCAAGGCUGGUAAUGAACUUUCACAUGGACUGAAUAUUGGAAGUAAAUAAUAGAAGGAAUAGACUAUACAGUGCCUCUGUCCUGAAGGAAACUAUCACGCCUCUUCUGGAAAAAGCAGACUGCACAGAGGAAGCCUUGAGCACUUUAGCCUGCAGUAGGAAAAGGUGGACACCAAAAACUUCACCCUGUGUUGGAGCUGUUCAUGCUUCCAUGAGGGCAUGGUGUCCAUGUCCGUGAAACCUACUACAGAAAAUGGCUCAUGAAAAGGGGAAUCGGACCCAACACACAGCUUCCUAUGCACUGCCAUCUUCUCAUCAGUUAGGCAAUACUUUGUAGAACGAUUAGCUUCACCUCUUAGCUGCCGGAAGAUCCCUUCUUAAAGAUGGACUCUGUGAAGAUUCGGGAGUCCUGAAACAUGGGGUCUCCGGGAUGGUCUCCAGCCCUAUCGAUGAUGAACACUGGUCUUCUGGAGGGUAAAUGGCAGCCUGGGCUGGUGUGGGAGGAAGGGCUUUGGCGUUCAUGGAAUGGGCCUGCUGCUCUCAGACCUUCAAAGGACAGAACCAACAAAGGACCAAAUAAGAAAGCAGAUACUGUGCCUUAUAGAGGGCCAUGAAUGUCAGUUAUUAUUUUUUCUCCUUAUAUAAUUAUUUUGUGGUUAUUAAUACAAUGUGCAUGGCUGUUGCAUAAAAGACAUGACUGGUGGAGGCUCAGGAAAGCCACGUCAUUCUAUAAUUGCCAUCAGGCUAAGGCCCCAUGAGCAAUUUUCUCCCUUGUAAUAUUAACCCUGUGUUUCUGGGAUCACAUCAUGGAGUUUUCUUUGCUUUUCCACUUUCCAGGAAAUCUUUUGGACUGGGCUGCCUUCUUCAUGUGUGAUGAAAGAUGAGCUGUAUUUCAGAACAAAGUGCUGUGUUGUCAUAAUUUGCCUGACUCCCAGGGCGUCUCUUAUGCAACCUGAUAACGAUACUGUUCAUUAGCAGCCUUUGUUAACUGAUAACCAAGAGUGGUAACGUGAUACUCAUAAGCAAUUUUCUGUGUGUAAGAUAAAAUAAACCAUCUUGUAUGGGAUCUGCUAAUUGA